Oreochromis aureus is the source of this 759-nucleotide long non-coding RNA. The record is from Ensembl. Lineage: Eukaryota; Metazoa; Chordata; Actinopteri; Cichliformes; Cichlidae.
CAGACAUGAACGCUUGCGCUGGCAUAGGAAGUAUUAUGAACAGCUGAUCGGAUUAGCAAAGCCUGUUUCUGCAAUUUUAUGUUUUUGUUGCUGCAAGUGCUUUUAAUGCAAUUUUUGCUAAACCAUAUGUGGAAGAUAACCGUGACCUAGGACAAGCUGAUGGCAUAAGAUCAGGCGAUCACUUUUUGGCACAACACCGGCAGUCAGAGGCAGCAGUUUGCUCACCUGGGUCCUCGGGGAAAAAGAAAAACCACCCGCCUGCCUGCCCUGCUAUGCGCUUCCGUCGGCUGCCUCGCUCAGAGGGAGGUUCUCCUCUCUGCUCCCCGACACACCGGACCAUUAUGGCCUAUCCCCGCAGCUACGCUCACUCCGGUUCGAAACACGCUGCCCUGUGCAAAACCUCCCAUAUACAUUUGAGGUAUUGAAUGACGUCCGGAGUGUUUGGAAUGCUCACCGUAUAAGGCCCUCAAAGAAUAACAAUAUGCCCUGUGGGAUACCUGAUGUCAUGCACAUGGCCCCUCACCUUUAGGGUGCAGAAGACGGUCUCGUUCCACUGACAGAAGAUUUGACCUUGUGUAAAAAUAGCUGCACUUUUGUUAGUUCAGUCCCAUGUGAUGUGCAAGUGUUUGAUUUGUGCACAAUAAUAAUGGAGGAAGCUUGGAAUUCCCAUCUACCAUGUCCCAGGCCCUUGAUUUAUAUUUUCAUCUCAGGGAUACAGUUCGUUCACAGUUAUUUGAGGCUACUUAAAUAGACACAAAC